GCAACUAUAGUUCAGCGGUAGAACAGCCCACAGCUCAGAAAACGGGCGUUGGGAAGGUCGAGGGUUCAAAUCCCUCUGUUUGCA
Molecule: non-coding RNA, 84 nt
Organism: Mycena crocata
Lineage: Eukaryota; Fungi; Basidiomycota; Agaricomycetes; Agaricales; Mycenaceae
Source: the annotation of a GenBank genome assembly